RNAcentral lists this ribosomal RNA (626 nucleotides) under Levilactobacillus brevis. RNAcentral's name for it is "bacterial SSU rRNA". It matches the Rfam family "Bacterial small subunit ribosomal RNA", at positions 815 to 1441 of the family's 1533-position model. The record is from RNAcentral. Lineage: Bacteria; Bacillati; Bacillota; Bacilli; Lactobacillales; Lactobacillaceae.
GCUAAGUGUUGGAGGGUUUCCGCCCUUCAGUGCUGCAGCUAACGCAUUAAGCACUCCGCCUGGGGAGUACGACCGCAAGGUUGAAACUCAAAGGAAUUGACGGGGGCCCGCACAAGCGGUGGAGCAUGUGGUUUAAUUCGAAGCUACGCGAAGAACCUUACCAGGUCUUGACAUCUUCUGCCAAUCUUAGAGAUAAGACGUUCCCUUCGGGGACAGAAUGACAGGUGGUGCAUGGUUGUCGUCAGCUCGUGUCGUGAGAUGUUGGGUUAAGUCCCGCAACGAGCGCAACCCUUAUUAUCAGUUGCCAGCAUUCAGUUGGGCACUCUGGUGAGACUGCCGGUGACAAACCGGAGGAAGGUGGGGAUGACGUCAAAUCAUCAUGCCCCUUAUGACCUGGGCUACACACGUGCUACAAUGGACGGUACAACGAGUUGCGAAGUCGUGAGGCUAAGCUAAUCUCUUAAAGCCGUUCUCAGUUCGGAUUGUAGGCUGCAACUCGCCUACAUGAAGUUGGAAUCGCUAGUAAUCGCGGAUCAGCAUGCCGCGGUGAAUACGUUCCCGGGCCUUGUACACACCGCCCGUCACACCAUGAGAGUUUGUAACACCCAAAGCCGGUGAGAUAACCU